Molecule: ribosomal RNA, 383 nt
Filed under: Trigonodactylus pulcher (beautiful short-fingered gecko)
Lineage: Eukaryota; Metazoa; Chordata; Lepidosauria; Squamata; Gekkonidae
Description: Stenodactylus pulcher (beautiful short-fingered gecko) partial 12S ribosomal RNA
Rfam family: Bacterial small subunit ribosomal RNA
Source: RNAcentral
UCAGCCAUAAACUGAUAGUCUCACAACAAACUAUCCGCCAGAGAACUACUAGCGAAAAGCUUAAAACUCAAAGGACUUGACGGUGCCCCACACCAGCCUAGAGGAGCCUGUCCUAUAAUCGAUGACCCACGCUGCACCCAACCUGCCCUAGCAAGACCAGCCUAUAUACCGCCGCCUCCAGCCUGCCUAACUGAUAGCCCCCCACAGCAGGCAAAACUGCCCUCACAAACACGUCAGGUCAAGGUGUAGCUAAUGGGCAGGGAGAGAUGGGCUACAUUUUCUUAGCCAUAGAAAAAACCACCAGCGCCAUGAAACUGCGCCACAAAGGCGGAUUUAGCAGUAAGCCUAGCCAGAAUACCUAGACUGAAAGAUGCUCUGGGGCG